This 31-nucleotide non-coding RNA is filed under the name Macaca fascicularis (crab-eating macaque). Lineage: Eukaryota; Metazoa; Chordata; Mammalia; Primates; Cercopithecidae. RNAcentral also lists the same sequence under 1 other name. The record is from RNAcentral.
UGGUGAAUUUCAGCCAAAGUGGCCAAAGAAC